UACGUAGGGUGCGAGCGUUGUCCGGAAUUAUUGGGCGUAAAGGGCUCGUAGGCGGUUUGUCGCGUCGGGAGUGAAAACUCAGGGCUUAACCCUGAGCCUGCUUCCGAUACGGGCAGACUAGAGGUAUGCAGGGGAGAACGGAAUUCCUGGUGUAGCGGUGAAAUGCGCAGAUAUCAGGAGGAACACCGGUGGCGAAGGCGGUUCUCGUGGG
This 211-nucleotide ribosomal RNA is filed under the name uncultured bacterium. Its description in RNAcentral is "partial 16S ribosomal RNA". It matches the Rfam family "Bacterial small subunit ribosomal RNA", at positions 524 to 733 of the family's 1533-position model. The record is from RNAcentral.